CCUACGGGGGGCAGCAGUGGGGAAUAUUGGACAAUGGGGGCAACCCUGAUCCAGCCAUGCCGCGUGUGUGAAGAAGGCCCUCGGGUUGUAAAGCACUUUCAGUGAGGAAGAACGCCUGGUGGUUAAUACCCAUCAGGAAAGACAUCACUCACAGAAGAAGCACCGGCUAACUCCGUGCCAGCAGCCGCGGUAAUACGGAGGGUGCGAGCGUUAAUCGGAAUUACUGGGCGUAAAGCGCGCGUAGGUGGCUUGAUAAGCCGGUUGUGAAAGCCCCGGGCUCAACCUGGGAACGGCAUCCGGAACUGUCAAGCUAGAGUGCAGGAGAGGAAGGUAGAAUUCCCGGUGUAGCGGUGAAAUGCGUAGAGUUCGGGAGGAAUACCAGUGGCGAAGGCGGCCUUCUGGACUGACACUGACACUGAGGUGCGAAAGCGUGGGUAGCAAACAGGAUUAGAUACCCUAGUAGUC
Molecule: ribosomal RNA, 465 nt
Filed under: Vreelandella stevensii
Lineage: Bacteria; Pseudomonadati; Pseudomonadota; Gammaproteobacteria; Oceanospirillales; Halomonadaceae
Description: partial 16S ribosomal RNA
Rfam family: Bacterial small subunit ribosomal RNA
Source: RNAcentral